This 2008-nucleotide unclassified non-coding RNA is filed under the name uncultured fungus. RNAcentral describes it as "sequence contains 18S rRNA gene, ITS1, 5.8S rRNA gene, ITS2, 28S rRNA gene". The stretch from base 871 to 2008 matches the Rfam family "Eukaryotic large subunit ribosomal RNA", at positions 1 to 961 of the family's 3401-position model. Lineage: Eukaryota; Fungi. The record is from RNAcentral.
GGAAGGAUCAUUAACACGUUUAAAGUCCCUUCUAUAAACCCGUGUGAACCCCAAAACAGUGGGACGCAAUUAAGGAUGGAGGAUCCCUUAAUUGUCCCCUCUGUGGCUGUGUCCAGUCUUAUUCAAACUGGUUAAUUCUGGUUUUUAAGCUGGCGACAGUCGAAAGGAAAACAACGUUAUAGGCAUAUAGCGUUAAUUGUGUAUGCGCAUUUUCUCUUGCCACAGUUUGUAACUGGUAAAGCCCUCGUGUUGUGAGCAAUUACGGCUCACGUAAGCCACUGAGGGGCAGGGGAAUUGUGGGAGAAAGUGUGGCUGCUUUUAAUUAGCUUAUGUUUAUUAACAACCUCCGCCCAUAUUUACCAAUUUUUUUUAUAACAAUUUACUCGUUGUCUAAUCAAUUUAGCAGUGGAAACACUAUCUAGAUUAAAAUCUAUACAACUUUCAGCAACGGAUCUCUUGGUUCUCGCAACGAUGAAGAACGCAGCGAAAUGCGAUACGUAAUGCGAAUUGCAAAAUUCAGUGAAUCAUCGAAUCUUUGAACGCAAAUUGCGCUCCCGGGAUACCCCUGGGAGCAUGCCUCUUUGAGUAUCGUUAACAACCAUUCUCUCCCAAAUUUUAUUUGUGGAGGAUUUGGACGUUCAUGCUGCAAUAUUGCAUGUCGUCUUAAGUGCAUCUUACUUGGCAAGCCCAGUUCAGAUAAUGGCCUUAUCUGUUUAGUGCUUUCCUUCAAUAAGAUAUAAUUCGUUAUAACUUUUGAGGGAGUAGGCUAGCAGCAUAGUUGGCGUUACUUCUGCGACUGUUAAUUACUUGACUUGGCAGUAAGACUUUUAAACAACCAAAAUCCGAGAAGCUCAGCCUUCUCGUUUGUUUUGAUCUCAAAUGAGGUAGGAAGACCCGCUGAAUUUAAGCAUAUAAAUAAGCGGAGGAAAAGAAACUAACAAGGAUUCCCCUAGUAACGGCGAGUGAAGCGGGAAGAGCUCAACUUGAAAAUCGGAGACCUUCGGUCUUUGAAUUGUAGUCUAGAGAAGCAAUGUCCGCGGUGGCCCAGGUCUAAGUCCCUUGGAACAGGGUGUCAAAGAGGGUGAGAACCCCGUUUUGGGCUUGGAGUCUGCUAUGUACGACGUGCUUUCAACGAGUCGGGUUGUUUGGGAUUGCAGCCCUAAUUAGGAGGUAAAUUUCUUCUAAAGCUAAAUACUGGCGAGAGACCGAUAGCGAACAAGUACCGUGAGGGAAAGAUGAAAAGAACUUUGAAAAGAGAGUUAAAAAGUGCGUGAAAUUGCUGAAAGGGAAGCGAUGGAGACCAACAUAUGCUGGGGCCCAUAUUUUGCCUUUAUAGGUAUCAGUCUCUCCAGAUUUGAGUUUACUCCAGUUCUGGUUUGGCUGCAUAUCUACAGGGGUGUCCUGUGGGUUCUGGCGAGUCAGAAUCAAUUCGUUUGGCAGUAGAUAGGUUGUAAGAAGGUACCAGGAAUGCAAGCACUUGUCUUUCUGGGAAAUAUCUUGCAGUCAACACUGUCGUUCGGAUUGAGGAAAGCUAAUGUUUGCCUUUGGGCAGCGGUUAUAGUUCUCUGUUCUUUCUAAUGGUGGAGGAUAACAAAGUUAUGCUUUGCUUAUUAGGGAGGCAUUGGGGCUGUAAUUGUCUCAAGCAUUGGUGAUUCUGACGCAAUGGUUCUUCACCGACCCGUCUUGAAACACGGACCAAGGAGUCUAACAUAUAUGCGAGUAUUUGGGUGUUAAACCCUGAUGCGUAAUGAAAGUAAAGGCCUUCGGGCUUAGGUGGGAUCCCUUUAGUUUUCGAACGGGGGUGCACCAUCGACCGAUCGUCCACUUGUGGAAGAUUUGAGUAAGAGCAUAUCUGUUGGGACCCGAAAGAUGGUGAUCUAUGCCUGGACAGGGCGAAGCCAGGGGAAACCCUGGUGGAGGCUCGUAGCGAUACUGACGUGCAAAUCGUUCGUCUGAUCUGGGUAUAGGGGCGAAAGACUAAUCGAACCAUCUAGUAGCUGGUUCCCUC